AUUUUCAGACAAAAAACUAUCCAACCCUAGCUAAAGCGACUCCCACUUUCACUUCGAGCAGUUCCUUCACCUUGGCCGACCUCGUUCUCCCCGACCUCGUUCUACGACCUGAGCUCGUUCUCCGACCCAACCUCGUCCUUCAACGACCCGAGCCACCUUCAGCUCCUUCACCGACCCAGAACUGCCUCGAUCGACCACGACCACGAUCUCCUUCAGCGAGCUCCUCCGACCUAUUUCUAAGACCCGAGCUCGUUCUCCGACCCGACCUCGUCCUUCAACGGUCCAAGCCACCUUCAGCUCCUUCAUCGACCCAGAACAGCCUCGAUCGACCACGACCACGAACUCCUUCAGCGAGCUCCUUCAAUGACCUGACCACGACCACGAACUCCUUCAGCGAGCUCCUUCAAUGACCUGACCACGAACUCAUUCUCCCACCUGAGCUCGUCAUUGUCCGACUUGAGCCGGCUCGAGGUAGUUCUCCGAUCGCCACCAUCGUAGUGGGGAGUUUGAAGGCUAGGACCUAUUUGUGAUUACAGCUUUGCUCUUUUGGAAAGCCUCUAUCAACAACGGCCUCAUCUCCUCGACUCUUCCAGACCAGAAUUUAUAUCAUCCCAAACAAUUAUCAUCCCAAAAUCUUCUUCAAAUCCAUCAAUGGUAUCUUACCGGACCAAAAAAAAAAAUUAACUCUCCCCAAAUCUCUGUAAUCGGUUGUUUCUGGGUUCGAUCAAACAUCUCUAAUCUCAGUUGAAGAUCCGCGGCUCCACCGGAAGUCUCCGAUUCGUGGCUUUGAUUCCGAUCAUGCACUUUGAGGUUUCACUCAGCUGGGCAUUUGCUAGAUGUAUGUAUGAAGAAUGUGGGAUUAGGUGAUUUAAAGCCAUGAAAGGCUAUCAUUUUCCUCAAGGGUGUGCUUUGGAUGGAGAAAUACUUAGAUAUGUGGGUGAAGCUUAUCCAAAAGGGGUCUGCUCAGUGUGUUGUGGGAAUGGUAAAGAUGCAGAGGGCCCAGGAUCUGACUUUGAGCUCGUGGUAGUGAUUUCAGCUGCUAGACAUAGCCCACAAAAUUUCUGCAAUGGUAGUUGGCGUUCAGUGUGGAGCAUUGAGUUCAAAGAUGAAGUACAAAUGCUGGAAUUAAAAGGCAAACUGCAGGUGGGUGCCCACUAUUUUGAGGAGGGGAAUGUGCAGUUAGAUGCAAAACAUGAAUGCAAAGAUUCAACAAUUUUUCAGUCCUCUGAAGAUUCUGCAAUUACCAUAGGCAACAUUAUAAGGCAACAUAAGGCAGAAUACUUGGCAUCUCUUGAGGCAUCCUAUUCAAACUUGCCCGAUACCACUUUUAAGGUACCAUUCAAAAUUCCGGAUUGAGUGUUUGAGACGAAGGACCCAGUUCAAUUUACUUCACAAACUGAUACAGGGACUGUGAAAGGCAUCAAAUCUGAAUAAACCUACUAAAUCACCAUUUUUUUUUCUACCAGUGGCUAAUUGGCUAUUUGUAAGAAAAGAUGAGUGAGUUGGGUUCAUAUUCUACCUGGAACAUAACAGGAACUUACAGAGGUGCGCCAUGUGUUGCUGCAAUUGAGAAUAUGAGCCAUUUUGAUGCUGAUGGGAAGCGUCAUUACCCAUUUGGUAAAGGCUUAGGCUCAGAGGUUGUAAAGCAGUUUGGUAUCCCUAAUCUAUUUGAUUUUCCCAUUAGACCAACUCUAUCUGCGUCUGGAGAUCGUGGAGUACCUGAAGCAAAAUAUUAGCGCAUUUCAUUAUGACUUACAUUGAUAUAUGUUUGUUGUGUAUAUAUAUAUUUGUAGUGGGCGGUAAAGACUCGGAAAGGAUAUACCCAACAACAACUUGACGAGGUGCACAUGGAGGUGGCCGACUACUUGCAGACCUUGUUGUAGAUUCUGACUAGGAUGGGGAUUUUGAGUAAGGCUAGAUUGCUAUUUUGGUUCACUUUGACUACUUACAGACCUUGUUGUAGAUUCUGACUAGGAUGAGGAUUUUGAGUCAGGCUACAUAGCUUUUGGUUCACUUUUUUUGUAGUAGAUGAAGUGAAUGCAGCAAUUAUGAACAAAAUUGCUGUAUAUAGGCAUUGUUAGGGUAGCUUUGUAGUAGGUUAAUUGAGGUUUUGUUUUGCCUAUUUUGUGAACUGUCAAUGAUGAUGAUUUUGGACAAAAUACCCCAAUAUAUAUUGAAAUCACUUCGGUCAAUUGUGGAUA
This is a long non-coding RNA of Rosa chinensis, 2201 nucleotides long. RefSeq lists it as uncharacterized. Lineage: Eukaryota; Viridiplantae; Streptophyta; Magnoliopsida; Rosales; Rosaceae. The transcript is spliced from 12 exons. The record is from RefSeq and is a predicted model, not a curated record.